GGGCCCGCACAAGCGGUGGAGCAUGUGGUUUAAUUCGAUGAUACGCGAGGAACCUUACCAGGGCUUAAAUGUAAGUUGCAUAGAUCAGAGAUGGUCUUUUCUUCGGACUACUUACAAGGUGCUGCAUGGUUGUCGUCAGCUCGUGCCGUGAGGUGUCAGGUUAAGUCCUAUAACGAGCGCAACCCCUGUCGUUAGUUGCCAGCAAGUUAAGUUGGGCACUCUAGCGAGACUGCCAGUGCAAACUGUGAGGAAGGUGGGGAUGACGUCAAAUCAUCACGGCCCUUACGUCCUGGGCUACACACGUGCUACAAUGGCCGGUACAGAGAGCAGCCACUACGCGAGUAGGAGCG
This 350-nucleotide ribosomal RNA is filed under the name uncultured bacterium. RNAcentral describes it as "bacterial SSU rRNA". It matches the Rfam family "Bacterial small subunit ribosomal RNA", at positions 917 to 1269 of the family's 1533-position model. The record is from RNAcentral.